Molecule: transfer RNA, 73 nt
Organism: Ovis aries (sheep)
Lineage: Eukaryota; Metazoa; Chordata; Mammalia; Artiodactyla; Bovidae
Rfam family: tRNA
About the family: Transfer RNA (tRNA) molecules are approximately 80 nucleotides in length. Their secondary structure includes four short double-helical elements and three loops (D, anti-codon, and T loops). Further hydrogen bonds mediate the characteristic L-shaped molecular structure. tRNAs have two regions of fundamental functional importance: the anti-codon, which is responsible for specific mRNA codon recognition, and the 3' end, to which the tRNAs corresponding amino acid is attached (by aminoacyl-tRNA synthetases). tRNAs cope with the degeneracy of the genetic code in two manners: having more than one tRNA (with a specific anti-codon) for a particular amino acid; and 'wobble' base-pairing, i.e. permitting non-standard base-pairing at the 3rd anti-codon position.
Source: Rfam
UCCCUGGUAGUCCAGUAGUUAGGACACCAUGCCUCCAGCAUAGGUGGUGUGGGUUUGAUUCCUGUUUGGGGAA